This 901-nucleotide long non-coding RNA is filed under the name Equus asinus (donkey). Its description in RNAcentral is "lncRNA (ENSEASG00005030407.1)". The record is from RNAcentral. Lineage: Eukaryota; Metazoa; Chordata; Mammalia; Perissodactyla; Equidae.
GCCACUUCCAGCGGGCCGUGGGCCUCGACGGGGGCUGCAGGGACAAACAUUCUCGAGAAGUAUUGUGGCCCGGUAGUGACAGAUUUCGCUCCACUUUUCACAGCCGGUGGUUUUUGUUAUUAGAGAUGCAACUCUAUUUUUUAAACUGUCAUUGAUGCCAGAGAUAGGCGACUAGACUCCUUUACUGGAUCGCCCGCAAUGGAAGAAGCAGCUCCACGCUGGAUGUGGUGGAAGAGUCUGGACAGAAUUGACUGGAAGCCUGGAAUCACCAGAAAAUAACUCAAGGCACAGCUCAGUUGUGACUAGCAAAAGUUUGAGGCUUGGUGGCUCAGCAUCCUGUGCACCAUAACCGUUACCUCCUAUGAGGAAGGGGAGGUACUACUUUCCCACUCAGAGCCAAUUCCCUGGAGGGGAAGACCAACUUCCAACCUACCACCCCCAACCUCAGAGGGUAAGACUCGCUGUGGGGAACUGAAGAGUGGUCUCCCUAAUUCCGGAUGAGAGGCCUGUUGCGAAUGGUGAAUGAUCUAGAUCUCCACUUAUAAAUAUGAGCAGAUAAAAAAUAUCACUACAUAAAGAGAGAAUCCACCAUUUGAAAGAAGAGGACCAAAUUAGAGCAGAUAUCACUUAAUAAAAUGGAGUUAAUGAAGGAAAUAGGAGAAAACUUUUUAAAAACUUCUUGUUCAUGUUCUAAGUGAAAUUUAAAGAGUGAUAAGGGCAAGUUGCCGUGAAAAUGGAGGCAUCUGAGAACCAGAAUGUCCUUGGAAAUUAGAAGAUACAUGAAUACUAUUAACUGAAAAGACAGUUAAUAGAAAAAUAGAUACUGCUAAAAACUGAAUUAAUGAAUUAUAAGACCAUCUCAAAGAGUGCUUCCAGAGCAAAAAGAUAAAUAAAUAGCAAC